This 95-nucleotide microRNA precursor is filed under the name Helianthus annuus (common sunflower). RNAcentral's name for it is "sRNA HanXRQr2_Chr11g0473341". It matches the Rfam family "mir-282 microRNA precursor family". Lineage: Eukaryota; Viridiplantae; Streptophyta; Magnoliopsida; Asterales; Asteraceae. The record is from RNAcentral.
AUGUCCUUUAUGUUUGCAACCUAUAACAGGCGGUGUCCUUUCUGGUUUUAUGAGAAAGGACACCGCCUGUUAUAGGUUGCAAACAUAAAGGACAC